UCCCGAGCGUUGUNCGGAUUUAUUGGGCGUAAAGGGAGCGCAGGCAGUCAGGAAAGUCUGGAGUAAAAGGCUAUGGNUCAACCAUAGUGUGCUCUGGAAACUNUCUGACUUGAGUGCAGAAGGGGAGAGUGGAAUUCCAUGUGUAGCGGUGAAAUGCGUAGAUAUAUGGAGGAACACCAGCGGCGAAAGCGGCUCUCUGGUCUGUCACUGACGCUGAGGCUCGAAAGCGUGGGUAGCGAACAGGAUUAGAUACCCUGGUAGUCCACGCCGUAAACGAUGAGUGCUAGGUGUUAGGCCCUUUCCGGGGCUUAGUGCCGGAGCUAACGCAAUAAGCACUCCGCCUGGGGAGUACGACCGCAAGCUUGAAACUCAAAGGAAUUGACGGGGGCCCGCACAAGCGGUGGAGCAUGUGGUUUAAUUCGAAGCAACGCGAAGAACCUUACCAGGUCUUGACAUCCCGAUGCUAUUCUUAGAGAUAGGAAGUUACUUCGGUACAUCGGAGACAGGUGGUGCAUGGUUGUCGUCAGCUCGUGUCGUGAGAUGUUGGGUUAAGUCCCGCAACGAGCGCAACCCUUAUUGUUAGUUGCCAUCAUUAAGUUGGGCACUCUAGCGAGACUGCCGGUAAUAAACCGGAGGAAGGUGGGGAUGACGUCAAAUCAUCAUGCCCCUUAUGACCUGGGCUACACACGUGCUACAAUGGUCGGUACAACGAGUUGCGAGCCGGUGACGGCAAGCUAAUCUCUGAAAGCCGAUCUCAGUUCGGAUUGGAGGCUGCAACUCGCCUCCAUGAAGUCGGAAUCGCUAGUAAUCGCGGAUCAGCACGCCGCGGUGAAUACGUUCCCGGGCCUUGUACACACCGCCCGUCACACCACGAGAGUUUGUAACACCCGAAGUCGGUGAGGUAACCUUUUAGGGGCCAGCCGCCUAA
This 928-nucleotide ribosomal RNA is filed under the name uncultured bacterium. RNAcentral's name for it is "bacterial SSU rRNA". It matches the Rfam family "Bacterial small subunit ribosomal RNA", at positions 532 to 1460 of the family's 1533-position model. The record is from RNAcentral.